Molecule: long non-coding RNA, 248 nt
Filed under: Numida meleagris (helmeted guineafowl)
Lineage: Eukaryota; Metazoa; Chordata; Aves; Galliformes; Numididae
Description: lncRNA (ENSNMEG00000018181.1)
Source: RNAcentral
UGUAGCCACUCCUAAAUGGCCUGGUAAACUGUUAACAUCCUAAUUGCAUAUUAACUUCAGAUAACUUUAAGUCUGCUCUUUGGAAUUUUGAAGAUCUGGUGAUAUGCUUUGAACUACAGGAGUUGGCAGUACUACCUAUUUGUCAAAUAUGCAUCCUUGAUAUGUUACAGUACAACUGCUGGAUCUAAUUCUACUGCAAAAUGAGGAAUGUAUUAAUAGGCCGUAACUUACUGACUUGAAACCGAUCU